GAACUGAGUGAGACACCAGGACAUCAGGAAGUGGUGGGGAAACCCCUUUGUUUCCUGCUGCCAGCCGAGCCCAGGAUAAAAGGACCCUGCUCCGAGCUUCACCAUGCCACUUGAAUCCCAGAGGCCUCGAACAGCCCGGAGAGGCAGUUUAUCGUCAAUCUAAGGAAAAUGUCUCAGCAGCAGCAGCAGCAAUGCAAAGUCCCCUGCCAGCCCCCUCCCAAAGUCCCUGAGCCCUGCCCUCCCAAGCCGUGUCCCCCGGGGGGGCCCAGCCAGCAGAAGUGCCCCCCUGUGAAGUGCCCCCCUGUGAAGUGCCCCCCCAGGCAGCAGGAGUACCUGCCGAAGCAGCAGUGACCCCUCCAGAAGCGCCCUCCGCCACCUGAUCAUGAAGAUACCGCACGCCCUUGCCCCACGCCAACCCCUCUCUGCCUGCACCUGCUGGGAACACAGACAGCUUAGAAGCCGCUGCCUCUCUUUAGACGCAAGAAGAAAGAUAUCAUCACAGUAUAUUGGGUUUUCCUCCCAAAUCAGCGACUCCUCCGUGCUCCUCUCCCAGGAGACUGCAUGGUGUAGACAGACGUGCCAUGUUCCCAAGCUCUUCCCUGGGGGCCAGACCAGUUCUUGCCCUUCUCUGCCACUGCUGUGGUCAGGACGAGGCCCGACUGUCCAGCUGCUGUCUCCUCUACCAUGCUGCCUCCUGCUGGUCAUAUGAGAUCAUUACAAGGGCACAGAUUUCCUUGUUUAGCAGUCGGCCUUCCUGGGAUGCAACAACUUUACGAAGGUUUCAAGGAGUAAACGCAGUUGAAAAAUUAAAACAAAAACAAUACUGGCUAAACGAUAGAAAUUUCUCCAGCGUUCUUCAGAGCACAGCUCCACGCUCCUCAGUGAAGGCAGUGAGGUCUUCUGUUUGUAUUUCUUCCCGAAUACUCUCCACAACUCCCAACCAAGCUCACCCACCCUCUAGACUCUGAGCCCAUUAAAAGUACUCCAAGCCCUUUAAUGUUCCUUCCUCCCUGUUUCUCAAUAAAAAAAAAAUCUUUUCUCCUGA
Molecule: non-coding RNA, 1045 nt
Organism: Vicugna pacos (alpaca)
Lineage: Eukaryota; Metazoa; Chordata; Mammalia; Artiodactyla; Camelidae
Source: RefSeq, a predicted model, not a curated record